Raphanus sativus (radish) is the source of this 430-nucleotide long non-coding RNA. RefSeq lists it as uncharacterized. Lineage: Eukaryota; Viridiplantae; Streptophyta; Magnoliopsida; Brassicales; Brassicaceae. The transcript is spliced from 3 exons. The record is from RefSeq and is a predicted model, not a curated record.
AUAAGAAAAGACCUAAAACUCAAUCUAACUCAAACUACCUUAUAUCUAACCUUUGAGGAGUUGUGUGUGAUCAUAAUUUUGUGGUUUCUUUUUCACAGGUUGCUCUGACUACUGCCAAGAUAGAGUCCAUUUUUCUUUGGCUGAAGAUCGAAUAUAUAAAAUACUGAGUUAUGCAAGAGGAAAAAUGGAGAGGGUCCCCAGGUCCAAUGGGAGAAAGUCUUAACUCGCUGUUUCUAACUGUCGAUAGUGAUAUUGGAGGAUAAAUCGGCAUAGCUCCUACUGAUAGGGUUUGUCAGGCUGUUGCCUCUGAGACUGUGGUAGGGGGUUAGGCAAUUGGUGUUCUUCCCAUGUCUAGGUACCUUGGUUUUACAUUUGGGAUUCACAUAUCAGCCUUGUAUUUUUCUACUCGAUAACUAUUAGCAAUUAUGGA